UGGGGGAUAUUGCACAAUGGGCGAAAGCCUGAUGCAGCGACGCCGCGUGGGGGAUGAAGGCUUUCGGGUUGUAAACCUCUUUCGCUAUCGAACAAGGCCCGCUUAGGGUGGGUUGAGGGUAGGUGGAGAAGAAGCGCCGGCUAACUACGUGCCAGCAGCCGCGGUAAUACUUAGGGCGCGAGCGUUGUCCGGAAUUAUUGGGCGUAAAGGGCUUGUAGGCGGCUUGUUGCGCCUGCUGUGAAAACGCGGGGCUUAACUUCGCGCGUGCAGUGGGUACGGGCAGGCUUGAGUGUGGUAGGGGUGACUGGAAUUCCAGGUGUAGCGGUGGAAUGCGCAGAUAUCUGGAGGAACACCGAUGGCGAAGGCAGGUCACUGGGCCAUUACUGACGCUGAGGAGCGAAAGCAUGGGUAGCGAACAGG
This 420-nucleotide ribosomal RNA is filed under the name bacterium. RNAcentral describes it as "partial 16S ribosomal RNA". It matches the Rfam family "Bacterial small subunit ribosomal RNA", at positions 355 to 776 of the family's 1533-position model. The record is from RNAcentral.